This 3706-nucleotide long non-coding RNA is filed under the name Olea europaea (common olive). Its description in RNAcentral is "long non-coding RNA (OEUR_LNC002077)". The record is from RNAcentral. Lineage: Eukaryota; Viridiplantae; Streptophyta; Magnoliopsida; Lamiales; Oleaceae.
CAGAGGAGUCAUUGAAUGAUAUAGAGUGCUUGACGGCAUGUCUCGUAUAAUGUCCACAAAUUUGUGAACUAGGAUCAACUUACUAUGCGAACCAACAAUGCAUUUCUCUACCAGGGCAUGAUCGUAUACCAAUGGAGGUCGAAGAUAGGUCUCAUAAGGUCUAAAAAUAAUUGGGGUUAAAGGCUAUCAAUCUCCACACAGAUCAAUCCAAUGGAAGGAAGAUAAGGCAUACAAAUAAUUGGGUUAAAGGUGCCCCUCAUGGGGUGGUUGAGUUGAUAGAGUAGGUGAGCGCGGAAACCUUUGGUCACGAGUUCGAUUUUCCCCGCCAACACUUUCUCGAUCUAGCUUGUCGAAUCGAACUUGCCUAGUGUGGUGUACCUGGCUGUCACGAUUUACCAAUGGAGGUCGAAGAUAGGUCUCAUAAGGCCUAAAAAUAAUUAGGGUUAAAGGCUAUCAAUCUCCACAAAAAUCAAUCCAAUGGAGGUAGAAGAUAUGGCAUACAAAUAAUUGGGUUAAAGGCUAUCAAUUUCCACACAAAUCAAUUAUUAAGCCGUUUGAUUAUCUUUUCAUUGUAUUCACUUCAUUAUUAGCGCAUGUUGGCACUCAGUUUAUAUCCAUUCAUGGUUGGUCCCAUAAGUUUUAAUGUUUUGAUGUUCCUUUCAUUUUGUUCCAUGCAUACUGAUAUUCCUAUGAAUUUGGCAUGUCCAAAUAAUUGAGUGCUAUAUUUUUACAUUUUCUUGUUGGAUAUUGAAGAAUUUGCGCACUUUUGUUCGGGAAAUAUCUGUAUUUAGAUUGAAUUUUGGUCCAUCUGAUACUUAGAUCAAAGUUUUAGCUGAUGAGAUUCCAUAAUAUAGUCCUAUUGUAAAUUGCUGUAAAAAUCUUACGCAUUAAGCCCUUGUUUCGUAAAAUUUAAAACUCGUCAAAGUCAACAAUUAAUUUUAUCUACACAUUUUAUAGGACACACAACUUUUCAACAACACAUUUCAUUAACUUUUAUAAUAAUCUGCUAAAAAUUUGAUUUUAAUACCUAUCAAAUAGGGGAUAAAUAUUUAUUGUGGUAAAAUUACCAAAAUAUCUCCCCAUAGCUACAAAAAUCACAUUUCUUCAAUUUCAUUUGCCAAGUUUUGAUUAUAAAUAUGGCAUCGAAACUAUUCUUCAAGAAAACCAAUCUCAAGAAUUUUAUGCAAAUUCCUCUUGCUCUCUAGAAAUAAGAAUGACUACUUUACUUUGUCUUACUUUUCUCCUCUUUCCCUUGAGUCUGUCAAGGUAAAUAAUGUUAGCUAAAGCUGCUGAGAUUGACUUCAUCAUUUACUUGAUAUUCAAACACAAUACAAGAUUUUACACCUUGAUUAUCACACUGAAAUCCAACGUCUACAAAUAGCAAAGAAAUAAUCACACAUGGAUCACAUCUGCCCAUCAAUUUAUUUUAUAAUGAGAUGAUAACAGUAGGUCGAGUACACACAAUUUAAUCAUCGUCAAUCCAUGCAAGAUCAACGUUUGACAUCCAGUGACAUGCCUCACCUUUUCCAGGGGAGAAUUUCAAUAUCUUAGAAGCUACAUGAUUCUCAAGCCAUGUCGAGAUAUCCAUGUGACAAAUUGAGAUCACGAUUUUAACUGGGAGUCGAGUUUUGGCUUCAACCAUGUCUACAGCAUAGAGUCGAGAUGAUAGGAUUGAGUGACAGAAAUAGGCUGCAAAUGGAGGAUAAACUUCAUGACAGACAAUUAUUUUCUGCCUAUCAAAUUUCUUGAUUUUUUUUUAUCAUAAAAUCCCCUGUUUUUGUGCUUUGUGAAGCCAGUGCAAGUGACUUCUUGUUGCCUAAGGCGAAUUUUGAAAAACUAAUCAUUUCUCCAAGGGAUUUUGUGCAAUUCUUGAUUCCUCCAUUUAUAACUUCUGCAUUACAAUAAAAAAGGGUAGUUUCAAUGGAAUUUUUCAAUAGUUUAAAGGACUUGAGAAAUAUUUUUCUGAUGUUUUUUCUGUUGAUAGAAAUUUUUGAAGCUAUUUCUUGAGGGAGAAAUGCGCAAUUCGAAUAUUAAUUUCUGAAUCUAGGGCCUGAAGAAAGAAAAAUUGUCUAUCUUAGUGGGUUGAAUAGUUGAUGCAUACUUAUUGUAUACUUUGACCAGUUUGUAUACUUUGGUCAGUUCCAGGAAUUUUUCAUAUUCAAAUGAGCAAGUGAGUUUUGCUAUUGAGCAAAAACUGGAAUUUUCUGAGAAUUCAUUUUUGGACAUCAUUUUAAUGUAAUAAUUCCGAUCCUUUUUUGUUAAUGGGGAUAGCUUUUUGAAAACAGAUUUAAACAUUUGGUUUUACACAUUUUCUGACCAGAACUUGAUAUGGUCGAAAGCGAUGGAUGAUAUACGGACUUGAGUUGACACAAAAGAAGUGAAGUAAAGACAAAAGAUCAAGAGAAAGAGGAGAAAAGUAGCCUUUUUUUUAUGACGAGGGAACUAGCGGAAUUGAGUGUAAUGCUAGAAACCCAAGAAAGUGUUUCCAAUCUAUGUAAUUGUUUAAUCUGAAAAGCAUGGCGUUAAAAUGAGUAAAGGCUAAUGGAAAACUUUGAGGAAGUGGUAGACGGAGGAUUUUGAGUCUACAAAUCUCAUUGGAUCUCUAUCAAAUGCGAGGAAUUCAUAUAUUUCUUCUAUUGUCGGAAAAGUUUUGUGAACUUUUCAAGAGUAUUUGCAUUUAGGCCAUCUCCAUUGCUAAGGGCAUCCUUGAUUUCUUUGUGCAAAACGCCAAGUGAUUUGAGUACAAUUGCUGUGGUUUGGGACUUUAUGGUGUCGAGAAUGAAAAUCUGGGAAGCUGGACCGAAUCUAUCCCUUAUCCUGGUUGUUGAAUUAAUGUCUUGUCAAGGAGAUUUUCGAUUGAUGGCAACAUAUCCAAAGAGAGCUUCAACAAGAUGGCCAUUGUUGACCUCGCAAAUUGGACUUCCACGUGGUCAACCAAGAGCCACUCCACGUGUUCCUCCCUGCACACAACAACAUAUGGUCAGGAGCACACUGUCGGAACCAACGAGGGUGGUGGCAAUCAAAUACACUCCGACGGUCAAGUCAGUGGUCGAUGAUCGGAACGAUACCGAAAUCGUGCAAGAGAGUGAGGAGAAUAUGAUGCUUGAAGCUUGUGAACUAAGAUCAACUUACUAUGCGGACCAACAAUGCAUUUCUCUACCAGGGCAUGAUCGCAUACCAAUGGAGGUCGAAGAUUGGUCUCAUAAGGCCUAAAAAUAAUUGGGGUUAAAGGCUAUCUAUCUCCACACAAAUCAAUCCAAUGGAGGUAGAAGAUAAGGCAUACAAAUAAUUGGAAUAAAGGCGUCCCUCAUGGGAUGAUCGAGUUGGUGGAGUAGGUGAGCGCGGAGGCCGUUGGUCACAAGUUCGAUUCUCCCCACCAACACUUUUUUGAGUCGCACCAGACUUGUCUAGUGCAGUUUACCUGUCUGGCACGAUUUACCAAUGGAGGUUGAAGAUAGGUCUCAUAAAGCCUAAAAAUAAUUAGGGUUAAAGGCUAUCAAUCUCCACACAAAUCAAUCCAAUGGAGGUAGAAGAUAGGGCAUACAAAUAAUUGGGUUAAAGGCUAUCAAAUUUCACACAAAUCAAUUAUUAAGCCGUUUGCUUAUCCUUUUAUUGUAUUCACUUCAUUAUUAGUGCAUGUUGGCACCCAUAAAUUUUAAUGUUUUGAUGUUCCUUUCAUUUUGUCCCAUGCAUAUUGAUAUUCCUA